GACGAACGCUGGCGGCGUGCCUAAUACAUGCAAGUAGAACGCUGAAGGAGGAGCUUGCUUCUCUGGAUGAGUUGCGAACGGGUGAGUAACGCGUAGGUAACCUGCCUGGUGGCGGGGGAUAACUAUUGGAAACGAUAGCUAAUACCGCAUAAUAGUAGAUGUUGCAUGACAUUUGCUUAAAAGGUGCAAUUGCAUCACUACCAGAUGGACCUGCGUUGUAUUAGCUAGUUGGUGAGGUAACGGCUCACCAAGGCAACGAUACAUAGCCGACCUGAGAGGGUGAUCGGCCACACUGGGACUGAGACACGGCCCAGACUCCUACGGGGGGCAGCAGUAGGGAAUCGUCGGCAAUGGACGGAAGUCUGACCGAGCAACGCCGCGUGAGUGAAGAAGGUUUUCGGAUCGUAAAGCUCUGUUGUAAGAGAAGAACGAGUGUGAGAGUGGAAAGUUCACACUGUGACGGUAUCUUACCAGAAAGGGACGGCUAACUACGUG
RNAcentral lists this ribosomal RNA (495 nucleotides) under uncultured bacterium. RNAcentral's name for it is "partial 16S ribosomal RNA". It matches the Rfam family "Bacterial small subunit ribosomal RNA", at positions 28 to 507 of the family's 1533-position model. The record is from RNAcentral.